Molecule: long non-coding RNA, 2619 nt
Organism: Gasterosteus aculeatus aculeatus (three-spined stickleback)
Lineage: Eukaryota; Metazoa; Chordata; Actinopteri; Perciformes; Gasterosteidae
Source: Ensembl
CGAUCACAUUUACAAAUUGUUUGUCUAACUUAUAUAUUGAUUAUUUUCUUGAUCGAAAACCUUUUUAAAAUGGAGAAAAAAAAUCACCCUCCAAGAUUUUUGACAAGUACUUUAUGUUGCAUAUUUUUGGUUUUAUAAGGACACUAAACAGGAAAAUGCAGCAAAACCUCAUAUGUGAGAAGAUUAAAGCUCAUAUUCAAACUGCUGAAGGUUGGAUUGGAACGUCCUCUCUGCUCAGGAAGGUUCCUCACUGAGUGAAAGGCCUCAAUGCUUCCUUACGUAGCUCCUUUAGCACCUUUCCUUGACGUGUUCCACAGAGGUUAAGGAAAGGUGGUUAGGAAAGGAGGUUAGGAGGUCGUUUUUUGACAAUUCGAAUGCAGCCAAAAUGUUUUUCCAUCAGUGAUCAGCAACAGGAAGUACUUCAACUAUCAAAGUAAAAGUUCCUCCAAUCUCACUGUUAUAUUAUUUGAUCAAUGUUAUUAUUGACGUAUUAACUUUGAACUUGUAGCUGAAAUUACAAAAAUGUUAUUCAACAUUUAGAUUUUUAAUAUUCUCCUCUGAGUGAUGAUGGUAAAUGUUUAUGGUUUAAUAUGAACGACCCUUCAUCAGUAUGAGCAGCACAUGUUCGUACAGCACACACACACACAAACACACACACACACAGCAGCUGUGUCUGAGGUGGAAGCACGGUGUCAAGUUGUUCCCCGAGAAGAAGAGGCUUCUGGGUAAUUUGAUCUUCUCGUCCCGUCUCCUGUUGUUGCUUCUUCUCCCCCCUGGUAUAUUUGGCAGCUGUCAGUGUGUGUGUGUGUGUGUGUGUGUGUGUGUGUGUGUGCGUGUGCUAUUUUAAUGUUCCUCUACAGACUCAACAUUCCUCCAGGAGUCAGCUGUGGACCUCCGUCACACACACACACACACACACACACACACACACACAUGUUUUCAUGGUUUCCAGAGGGAUCGGCGCUUCGGUCGAGGCUGAGGGUCUUUGUCGAUAAGAAUGAGUUUCAUUUGAUGUUGGUGAUCCCCUGUUGGGGCGAGGGACUGGAGUCUGAGCUGAAGGAGGUUCAGGACUACACUGAGACGGGUUCACAUAGAGGAUCAGGACUACACUGAGACUGGUGCAUACGCAUGCACAGUGCCAGCGUUGUCAUGUCGUGGGGGGGUAUCCGGGGGGGGGGCAUCCAGUGCUGCCAUGCUGGGAUCGGUGCCGUUGCUGCCUUCUUGAAAUGUGAGGGUGUGUGAGCUGUGCCUUUAAAGGACAGUCCACCACAGUCAGCAGGGUUUAGUUAGCAGCAAUGGAAUACUGUAUUCAUAUGUUUAGACGGUAAUAAUCAAUUAAUAAAUGUCACUUUUAUAGUCAGGAUGCCUUCAGAAAUCCGGCAUUCAAAGCACCCCGGUCAGGAGUUAUUAAAUAUAUUUUAGCAUUGAUAAGCCCUGGUGCUUUUUUCAGCCUAAUAUUUUUGACUUUUUGUCUUUUUUUGUGACAUAUUUUGACUUUUUUUCAAAACAUUUUUCAAUACAAGUUUUUUAAACUUUUUUUUCAUGACAUAUUUCUUCACAACAUAUUUUGACUUUUUUUCAAAACAUUUUUCGACCUCAUUUUUGACCUAUCAUGGCAUAUUUUGACACAUUUAAAAAUGUUUCGUCCUAAUAUCUUUUUUUCGCGACAUAUUUCGACGCAAAAUAUUACUUUUUUUAAUUAAAAAAUGUAAUGUUUUUUUUUUUAACUUUUUUUCCUUGACACAACAUAUUUUUACAUUUAAAAAAACCCAUUUUUGACAUAAUAUUGUUUGACUUUUUUCCUUGACAUAUUUCGACAUAAUAUUUGACUCUUUUAAAAAUAACAUUGUGUGUAUUUGGGUUAAAGUGUCUCUUCAGCCACAAAGGAUGAAGGGCAAGAAAUCACGGUGCACGGAGUCAGAACAGUGCGUGUGUUCGUGCGCGUGUGCGCGUGUGUGGAGACCCAUGUUUGCAGGAGUCGGAGGCGCGCGGGCGGGAGGAUCCUCCGCGAGGGCGCAGCGUCCCGCUGUGAGGCCGAGCUGCUGCGGCGGUUAUAUUUAGCUUCUGUUGCCAUGUGCCGAGAAUGUGCGCGGCAGAGGGAGGCGCGCGCACACCAGCACGCGCUCACACACUGCGGUAAAGACGUGCCCUCACUUGGCCACUAAAGGUGAACGCGCAUCGCUGCGAUAAUCUGCCUCACGCACCCAGAAUGCAGCGCGGUGCCUCCUCAUUGGCGGAGCAGGCGGCCAGGUGUCGCCAUGCAAACCCGAGCGGGCUGCGCCAAUCAGGGGGAGGCCACGUGCUCGCGGCGGCCUCUGAUUGGCCGGAGCUUCUUUUAAGGGCUUUUAAUUAUUAUAGUUACGAUGUUUAAUUGUCUUCAGGCGUUACACGUUUCUCCGGCGUGUUUUUGCUGCAUUCGGCACUAAAUGGUUCGAAUUGAAGGGAAAAUAUAAGAUAUAUAACACUUAUUAAUAAUUAAUCAACGUGUGACUUAUUCUGAGAAAUAUUUGUAUUUGAUUUCUUACAAUCUGUCAGACUGUCUGAUUUCGUAAUUAGUAACUUUUAUUUUGUGAUUUAAAAUGUUUGUCUUAUAUUUUAAUUAAUUGGAUCAUUUUGAUU